Molecule: ribosomal RNA, 253 nt
Filed under: uncultured bacterium
Lineage: Bacteria
Description: partial 16S ribosomal RNA
Rfam family: Bacterial small subunit ribosomal RNA
Source: RNAcentral
UACGUAGGGCGCAAGCGUUGUCCGGAAUUACUGGGCGUAAAGGGCUCGUAGGCGGCCGGCUAAGUCCGACGUGAAAUCCCCAGGCUUAACCUGGGAACUGCGUCGGAUACUGGCGGGCUUGAAUCCGGGAGAGGGAUGCGGAAUUCCAGGUGUAGCGGUGAAAUGCGUAGAUAUCUGGAGGAACACCGGUGGCGAAGGCGGCAUCCUGGACCGGCAUUGACGCUGAAUAGCGAAAGCCAGGGGAGCAAACGGG